RNAcentral lists this long non-coding RNA (220 nucleotides) under Panax ginseng (ginseng). RNAcentral describes it as "long non-coding RNA (PGIN_LNC002972)". The record is from RNAcentral. Lineage: Eukaryota; Viridiplantae; Streptophyta; Magnoliopsida; Apiales; Araliaceae.
GUCAAUUGGUAAACCCAAACGGCGAAUACCCACAAAGAGAUUCAGAGAUUCAAGAUUCAGAUUAUUCCUAGAGUACUGGAAAAGCAAGUGAUUCGUUUCAGAAAUGCCUUUAUGAGAAAUUUCGUCGAACACCUGUUGUGCUUCCAAGGCAAAAGCAUUUGAUUGAUAGAAACAUUUGUUCUGAAGCGGAAUUUGUCUCUGAUGAAAAGAUUUAAGCCGC